Molecule: ribosomal RNA, 253 nt
Filed under: uncultured bacterium
Lineage: Bacteria
Description: partial 16S ribosomal RNA
Rfam family: Bacterial small subunit ribosomal RNA
Source: RNAcentral
GACGUAGGGCGCGAGCGUUGUCCGGAUUUAUUGGGCGUAAAGAGCUCGUAGGCGGCUUGUCGCGUCGUCUGUGAAAUCCCGCGGCUCAACCGCGGGUCUGCAGUCGAUACGGGCAGGCUAGAGUUCGGUAGGGGAGACUGGAAUUCCUGGUGUAGCGGUGAAAUGCGCAGAUAUCAGGAGGAACACCGGUGGCGAAGGCGGGUCUCUGGGCCGAUACUGACGCUGAGGAGCGAAAGCGUGGGGAGCAAACAGG